AGGAUCAUUACAGUGUUAUCACAACAUCGGCGCGGGAGGGGGUUUAAGAUGCUGGCCCGAAAGAGGGCAUUUCGUGACUCGCCCCCUUCCGUUUCCGUUGCUUGCGUAUUUUACGUCCACACCCGUGAACCUUAAUGGGAGGGUUCGCCCUCCCUUUUUUUAAAACCAAAGCCUGUUGAAACGCAUGUCUUUAGCCCCAGGGGCGAGUAAAAAGUUUAAUACAACUUUCAACAACGGAUCUCUUGGCUUUCGCAUCGAUGAAGGACGCCGCGAAAGUGCGAAACGUAAUGUGAAUUGCAGAAUUCAGUGAAUCAUCGAAUCUUUGAACGCAUCUUGCGCUCCUUGGCAUUCCGAGGAGCAUGCCUGUUUGAGUGUCGUGAAAUCAUCCCUCGACCCGACUCCUCGUUAGAGUUUGGGUUGGAUUUGGACGUCUGCGGGGGCGGUCUUCGCCUCUCGCUCGUCUUUAAAUGCAUCAGCUUGGCCCUCGGUCCGGAGCGAUCGACGGUGUGAUAAUAACACAUUGAACGCCGUUUUGGCCUGACCUUCGCGUGGGGUCGCUUAUAAUCCCGGUCCCUUGGGACCGAUUCGACCAUUUGACCUCAAAUCAGGUAGGACUACCCGCUGAACUUAAGCAUAUCAAUAAGCGGAGGAAAAGAAACUAACCAGGAUUCCCCUAGUAACGGCGAGUGAAGCGGGAAGAGCUCAAAUUUGUAAUCUGGCGGCCCUUGGUCGUCCGAGU
Molecule: ribosomal RNA, 739 nt
Filed under: Ramaria aurantiisiccescens
Lineage: Eukaryota; Fungi; Basidiomycota; Agaricomycetes; Gomphales; Gomphaceae
Description: eukaryotic LSU rRNA
Rfam family: 5.8S ribosomal RNA (bases 223-377)
Source: RNAcentral